This 492-nucleotide ribosomal RNA is filed under the name uncultured bacterium. Its description in RNAcentral is "partial 16S ribosomal RNA". It matches the Rfam family "Bacterial small subunit ribosomal RNA", at positions 30 to 507 of the family's 1533-position model. The record is from RNAcentral.
AUUGAACGCUGGCGGCAGGCCUAACACAUGCAAGUCGAGCGGUAACAGAAAGAAAGCUUGCUUUCUUUGCUGACGAGCGGCGGACGGGUGAGUAAUGCCUGGGAAUAUACCCUGAUGUGGGGGAUAACUAUUGGAAACGAUAGCUAAUACCGCAUAAUCUCUUCGGAGCAAAGAGGGGGACCUUCGGGCCUCUCGCGUCAGGAUUAGCCCAGGUGGGAUUAGCUAGUUGGUGGGGUAAUGGCUCACCAAGGCGACGAUCCCUAGCUGGUCUGAGAGGAUGAUCAGCCACACUGGAACUGAGACACGGUCCAGACUCCUACGGGAGGCAGCAGUGGGGAAUAUUGCACAAUGGGGGAAACCCUGAUGCAGCCAUGCCGCGUGUAUGAAGAAGGCCUUCGGGUUGUAAAGUACUUUCAGUUGUGAGGAAGGCGUUGGAGUUAAUAGCUUCAGCGCUUGACGGUAGCAACAGAAGAAGCACCGGCUAACUCCGUG